GGCACUAUGGCCGAGUGGUUAAGGCGCUGUGUUUAGGCCGCAGUGGGAAACCGCAUGGGUUCAAAUCCCAUUGGUGUCA
Molecule: transfer RNA, 79 nt
Filed under: Rhizoctonia solani AG-1 IA
Lineage: Eukaryota; Fungi; Basidiomycota; Agaricomycetes; Cantharellales; Ceratobasidiaceae
Also listed under: 1 other name
Description: tRNA-Leu (TAG) (tRNA-Leu-TAG-1-1)
Rfam family: tRNA
About the family: Transfer RNA (tRNA) molecules are approximately 80 nucleotides in length. Their secondary structure includes four short double-helical elements and three loops (D, anti-codon, and T loops).
Source: RNAcentral